This 253-nucleotide ribosomal RNA is filed under the name uncultured bacterium. Its description in RNAcentral is "partial 16S ribosomal RNA". It matches the Rfam family "Bacterial small subunit ribosomal RNA", at positions 524 to 776 of the family's 1533-position model. The record is from RNAcentral.
UACGGAGGGUGCAAGCGUUAUCCGGAUUCACUGGGUUUAAAGGGUGCGUAGGCGGGCAGGUAAGUCAGUGGUGAAAUCUCCGGGCUUAACCCGGAAACUGCCGUCGAUACUAUCUGUCUUGAAUAUCGUGGAGGUAAGCGGAAUAUGUCAUGUAGCGGUGAAAUGCUUAGAUAUGACAUAGAACACCCAUUGCGAAGGCAGCUUACUACACGAUCAUUGACGCUGAGGCACGAAAGCGUGGGGAGCAAACAGG